Brienomyrus brachyistius is the source of this 1257-nucleotide long non-coding RNA. RefSeq lists it as uncharacterized. The record is from RefSeq and is a predicted model, not a curated record. NCBI's taxonomy places the organism in Eukaryota, Metazoa, Chordata, Actinopteri, Osteoglossiformes, Mormyridae. The transcript has 3 exons.
GAAAAUGUUUUUUUCAUGAAUGACGUCUUACGCCCCUAGCUUCCGAGACUCCGGACUUCCGCGACAUCGCAUAGGACAACUUGAGCGCAGAGCCAACAGCCAUUAGAUGCCUUGUCAUUCUUGGAGAUAACGCGUCUAUGUCCUUCAAGAGCAGUUCAAUGAAGUCACUGAGGGAGACUCCGUGGACAUUCCAGUGGGAAUCCUCUGCUAUGAGGACAACAAAGCUGCAAGCCCAGCAUUGCCACAACUCAACCCCUGAAAUGAGGCAUCAUCCUAGAGGGCAGCCUUUCAGUGGAAGCACUCACCAACCUACCUCAAGCAAUGUACCUCAUGUGUGGCUUUGCCUAAAAACUGCAGUACCUGAAGUGCUUGAAAAACACUUUUACCUUCAUUCAGCAGGUAAUGCUAAAAUUAGGUCGAGGUGAACCAUCUCCAAAAGUUCAGAAGCUGAAGAAUGAGUUUGCAGUGUAAGAAUUAAGAAUUAAGUAUUAAAAUGUAAUGUUUCUAACAAGUUCUUCCAACAAGCCGCUGUUCGUGCUUCGGCAGCCGUGUGUAAAUGUUGGCUCCCCAGAGGUUGCAAUGGAGGUGAGCGCAGUAAUUCGGGGAACCUCAGACAAGCCCCAACGCCAAGCCCAUAAACCGGCACGUCUGCGGCUCAUGUCCCACUCAGUCAGUCAUUCCCAGGGUUGCCAACUUUGGUCAGCUGGCUGGAGUGAGAUUUUCAAUUUGAGACAAGUCAGCACACAUACAACAGCUCUUCAUGUCUGUGUCUGGAUUGUUGCACAAUUACUUUGCACUGACUAGAGCAAAUAGUCUUGCAGUUGCUCAUUUUGUAUCUGAUUCUUCUUGUGCUAGAUGUAUCUAGUAUUGUUUUUUUAUUAUCAUUAUUCCACAGACGUCACAUUUUAGAAAAGUUUCAGUUUUUUUUUUUACCAAUUCUGAUCCUCACUGCAUAGUUGUUCUUAAGGCUGAUGUUCUUGAUGCCUGCUUUGUUGUGUGGCACAUACAUACAUACAGUUUUUCUUUUGCACCUGUAGUAUAUGCUGCUACUGCAUAGUCAGUAUAUGCUGCAUGGUCAGUGUUUUUUCUCAAACUUGAUAAUUGUUCACAGAGCAAACAAAAAACUGUUCUCUGAUUGUAUUUGGAUUGAUAUUGUUUCAUAAUCAAUUUGUGUGUUUCAGUAAAAUAAAUGAAAAGUACUGCAUUGUGUGGUCAUAGACAAAAUAAUUUAAUUGGGAUAUUCUUAUCUAAAGUAUU